RNAcentral lists this transfer RNA (90 nucleotides) under Methylorubrum sp. GM97. Its description in RNAcentral is "tRNA-Arg". The record is from RNAcentral. Lineage: Bacteria; Pseudomonadati; Pseudomonadota; Alphaproteobacteria; Hyphomicrobiales; Methylobacteriaceae.
GCCCAAUGGUUCGGCAUCGAGCCCGCGCCCUUCGACGGCGCGGUGAACCCGCUGGAAGCACAGAUGGCGGGCGCCGCCCCGCUCUGGGCC